GGAGAGGUGGCAGAGUGGUCGAUUGUACCUGACUCGAAAUCAGGCGUACGGCAACGUACCGAGGGUUCGAAUCCCUCCCUCUCCG
This is a transfer RNA of Rhizobacter sp. Root1221, 85 nucleotides long. It matches the Rfam family "tRNA". From Rfam's summary of the family: Transfer RNA (tRNA) molecules are approximately 80 nucleotides in length. Their secondary structure includes four short double-helical elements and three loops (D, anti-codon, and T loops). Further hydrogen bonds mediate the characteristic L-shaped molecular structure. tRNAs have two regions of fundamental functional importance: the anti-codon, which is responsible for specific mRNA codon recognition, and the 3' end, to which the tRNAs corresponding amino acid is attached (by aminoacyl-tRNA synthetases). tRNAs cope with the degeneracy of the genetic code in two manners: having more than one tRNA (with a specific anti-codon) for a particular amino acid; and 'wobble' base-pairing, i.e. permitting non-standard base-pairing at the 3rd anti-codon position. Lineage: Bacteria; Pseudomonadati; Pseudomonadota; Betaproteobacteria; Burkholderiales; Sphaerotilaceae. The record is from Rfam.